RNAcentral lists this transfer RNA (73 nucleotides) under Candidatus Bathyarchaeota archaeon RBG_13_38_9. RNAcentral describes it as "tRNA-Val". It matches the Rfam family "tRNA". From Rfam's summary of the family: Transfer RNA (tRNA) molecules are approximately 80 nucleotides in length. Their secondary structure includes four short double-helical elements and three loops (D, anti-codon, and T loops). The record is from RNAcentral. RNAcentral also lists the same sequence under 3 other names. Lineage: Archaea; Thermoproteati; Candidatus Bathyarchaeota.
GGGCUCGUGGUCUAGCGGUUAGGACGCCACCCUCACACGGUGGAAGUCCCCGGUUCAAAUCCGGGCGGGCCCA